This 497-nucleotide ribosomal RNA is filed under the name uncultured bacterium. RNAcentral's name for it is "partial 16S ribosomal RNA". It matches the Rfam family "Bacterial small subunit ribosomal RNA", at positions 28 to 507 of the family's 1533-position model. The record is from RNAcentral.
GAUGAACGCUGGCGGCGUGCCUAAUACAUGCAAGUCGAGCGAACAGACGAGGAUCUUGCUCCUCUGACGUUAGCGGCGGACGGGUGAGUAACACGUGUAUAACCUACCUAUAAGACUGGUAUAACUUCGGGAAACCGGAGCUAAUCCCGGAUAAUAUCUUGAACCGCAUGGUUCAAUAGUGAAAUACGGUGUUUCUGUCACUUAUAGAUGUAUCCGCGCCGCAUGGGCUAGUUGGUGAGGUAACGGGUUACCAAGGCAACGAUGCGUAGACGAGCUGAGAGGGGGAUAGGCCACAUGGGAACGGAGACACGGUCCAGACUCCUAAGGGAGGCAGCAGUAGGGAAUCUUCCGCAAUGGGCGAAAGCCUGACGGAGUAACGCCGCGUGAGUGAUGAAGGUCUUCGGAUCGUAAAACUCUGUUAUUAGGGAAGAACAAAUGUGUAAGUAACUAUGCACGUCUUGACGGUACCUAAUAAGAAAGCCACGGCUAACUACGUG